GACGUAGGGCGCGAGCGUUGUCCGGAUUUAUUGGGCGUAAAGAGCUCGUAGGCGGUUUGUCGCGUCGUCUGUGAAAACCCACGGCUCAACUGUGGGCUUGCAGUCGAUACGGGCAGGCUAGAGUUCGGUAGGGGAGACUGGAAUUCCUGGUGCAGCGGUGAAAUGCGCAGAUAUCAGGAGGAACACCGAUGGCGAAGGCAGGUCUCUGGGCCACUACUGACGCUGAGAAGCGAAAGCAUGGGGAGCGAACAGG
RNAcentral lists this ribosomal RNA (253 nucleotides) under uncultured bacterium. RNAcentral describes it as "partial 16S ribosomal RNA". It matches the Rfam family "Bacterial small subunit ribosomal RNA", at positions 524 to 776 of the family's 1533-position model. The record is from RNAcentral.